This 422-nucleotide ribosomal RNA is filed under the name uncultured bacterium. RNAcentral describes it as "partial 16S ribosomal RNA". It matches the Rfam family "Bacterial small subunit ribosomal RNA", at positions 355 to 774 of the family's 1533-position model. RNAcentral also lists the same sequence under 1 other name. The record is from RNAcentral.
UAAGGAAUAUUGGUCAAUGGACGCAAGUCUGAACCAGCCAUGCCGCGUGAAGGAUGAAGGUCCUCUGGAUUGUAAACUUCUUUUAUAUGGGACGAAACACUUUCUUUCUAGAGAGCUUGACGGUACCAUAGGAAUAAGCACCGGCUAACUCCGUGCCAGCAGCCGCGGUAAUACGGAGGGUGCAAGCGUUAUCCGGAUUCACUGGGUUUAAAGGGUGCGUAGGCGGGCAGGUAAGUCAGUGGUGAAAUCUCAGAGCUUAACUCUGAAACUGCCGUUGAUACUAUCUGUCUUGAAUAUUGUGGAGGUAAGCGGAAUAUGUCAUGUAGCGGUGAAAUGCUUAGAUAUGACAUAGAACACCUAUUGCGAAGGCAGCUUACUACGCAAUCAUUGACGCUGAGGCACGAAAGCGUGAGGAUCAAACA